RNAcentral lists this ribosomal RNA (459 nucleotides) under Salmonella enterica subsp. enterica serovar Muenchen. RNAcentral describes it as "partial 16S ribosomal RNA". It matches the Rfam family "Bacterial small subunit ribosomal RNA", at positions 1 to 456 of the family's 1533-position model. The record is from RNAcentral. Lineage: Bacteria; Pseudomonadati; Pseudomonadota; Gammaproteobacteria; Enterobacterales; Enterobacteriaceae. RNAcentral also lists the same sequence under 9 other names.
AAAUUGAAGAGUUUGAUCAUGGCUCAGAUUGAACGCUGGCGGCAGGCCUAACACAUGCAAGUCGAACGGUAACAGGAAGCAGCUUGCUGCUUCGCUGACGAGUGGCGGACGGGUGAGUAAUGUCUGGGAAACUGCCUGAUGGAGGGGGAUAACUACUGGAAACGGUGGCUAAUACCGCAUAACGUCGCAAGACCAAAGAGGGGGACCUUCGGGCCUCUUGCCAUCAGAUGUGCCCAGAUGGGAUUAGCUUGUUGGUGAGGUAAUGGCUCACCAAGGCGACGAUCCCUAGCUGGUCUGAGAGGAUGACCAGCCACACUGGAACUGAGACACGGUCCAGACUCCUACGGGAGGCAGCAGUGGGGAAUAUUGCACAAUGGGCGCAAGCCUGAUGCAGCCAUGCCGCGUGUAUGAAGAAGGCCUUCGGGUUGUAAAGUACUUUCAGCGGGGAGGAAGGUGUUG